Molecule: long non-coding RNA, 762 nt
Organism: Haemorhous mexicanus (house finch)
Lineage: Eukaryota; Metazoa; Chordata; Aves; Passeriformes; Fringillidae
Exons: 2
Source: RefSeq, a predicted model, not a curated record
UCAGUAUCCUGCCACUCUCAGGUGUGCUGCAGCCAGGACAGAGCCAGCAGGUCUCCUCCACCUUCCCUGGCCACCUCAGCAGCACCUCCAAUGUCACCGAGCUGUGCCACGUGGAGGGAGGCCCCACCUGCGAGGUGCUGGUGACCGGGGAGGCCUCAGGUGUCAGCUCCUCCCUGAGCCCCCGGGAGAUCAGCUGUGGCUCUCAGGCACCUCUCAGGGACAGAAGGGAGCUGAAACAGCCAGCUCAAAAGCCUGAGGAGGAGGCAGAAGGAGGAGCUUCAGGAGCCUUCGAGGAGGAAGAGAGGCUGAAGGAGGAAGAGAGGUGUAAGAAGGAAAAGAAGGGAGUCUGUGUGGGGAAGCAGCCUCCAAAACCAGAGAAGGGGAAAAGCAAAUUAUUAGAGAAGAAUGAAACCAAAAUCCCAAAAAAGGAAACAAGAUCGCCAGAGAAGAAGAACACCAAGGCCCCAGAGAAGAAAGUCACCGAAGUAUCAGAGAGGAAGAAAACCAAAAUCCCGGGGAACGAAACCAAAGCAGCAGAAAAGAAGGAAGCCAAAACCCCAAAGAAGGGGAAAGCCAAAGCCCUAAAAAAAGGCGGGAACUGAAAUCCCCAACGACCCAACUGAGCUGGAGAAGAACUCUUUAUUCUUUAGGCACACAACUCAUUUUACACAGUUUGAAAGACCUCAUGUGCAACUUUAGUUAGUUAGUAUGUUUCUAUGCAGUUUUUCUAUUAUUGGUUAAUAAAAUAGAUUUUACUUCUGC